CAGUGAUUAAUUAUCUUGCUUUUACAGCCAAUUAAUAUACUGCUGUUCAAUGUAUACAAAUGUGUUAACACACAGAGAUAUAGCUUAUCUGAUCAAGAUAAGGACCAAUGAAAAUACAGGCUUCUGAAGCCAUUUUACACCUGUACCCCAAAAAAUAAUCCCAAUAUUUCUGCUUGGGUUUUUUUUUUUUUUUUUUUUUUAAUGUGAUCUUUGCAAAUGCUGUGAGCAAAUAAAUGGUCAAAUUUCCCCAUGAACUGUAUACUUAAAUAUUUUAAGAACAUUCUAUAUAUUCCCUUCAGUAACUAUAUUGUACCAAAGAAAAUGGCUCAUGAAUACAAAAAUUUGAAUGUAAACAGGAAGUUCUUUGUUCAUGCUGUUGGAGGCAAAUGGAAUAGAGCUAACUUGAAACUCUAAAAUGCUUUUAGAGAGAUAUCAGAUGAAAGAGUGUGCAUAUCUAGUUAUUUGAAGUAUGCCUAUGUAUGAAUUGAUGUAGUCAGAGAAAUCAGAUGGCUUCAGUGACUAUGCUACAGGAUGAUAUGAGAUCACAGACAGAAAUUCCAUCAAGGAUCAAGCAUAAAUUACAGAAUAUUUCAACUAUAAUUUAAAUGGCUGGAAUGAAGUUCCUGACACUGGUGAUGGUUUUGGAAAAGCAAAGAGACAUUCUGAUGCCACCUUGUAUUGAGCCUACGAUACUCCAAAAAUUUUCUAUCAAAUCAUUUUGAUAUUUAAUAUAUCUUUUAGUUUAAUUUUCAAGUUUAAGCUAAGUAAAUUUUUAUUUUUCUUAACCACAGAUGUAAAAACUGCUGGCAGAUGUGUUAUUCCCCUUGGAAUUUUAUACUUUUUGUGUUUUUGAAACCCAGACCUGUCUCAAUAUUUUAUUAAAAUAAU
Mercenaria mercenaria is the source of this 888-nucleotide long non-coding RNA. RefSeq lists it as uncharacterized. The transcript is spliced from 3 exons. Lineage: Eukaryota; Metazoa; Mollusca; Bivalvia; Venerida; Veneridae. The record is from RefSeq and is a predicted model, not a curated record.